This 255-nucleotide ribosomal RNA is filed under the name uncultured bacterium. RNAcentral's name for it is "partial 16S ribosomal RNA". It matches the Rfam family "Bacterial small subunit ribosomal RNA", at positions 524 to 776 of the family's 1533-position model. The record is from RNAcentral.
UACGUAGGGCGGCAAGCGUUGUCCGGAAUUAUUGGGCGUAAAGAGCUCGUAGGCGGUUUGUCGCGUCUGCUGUGAAAACCCGAGGCUCAACCUCGGGCCUGCAGUGGGUACGGGCAGACUAGAGUGGCGGUAGGGGAGAUUGGAAUUCCUGGUGUAGCGGUGGAAUGCGCAGAUAUCAGGAGGAACACCAAUGGCGAAGGCAGAUCUCUGGGCCGUAACUGACGCUGAGGAGCGAAAGCAUGGGGAGCGAACAGG